Molecule: ribosomal RNA, 404 nt
Filed under: uncultured bacterium
Lineage: Bacteria
Description: bacterial SSU rRNA
Rfam family: Bacterial small subunit ribosomal RNA
Source: RNAcentral
GAAUUGUUCGCAAUGGACGAAAGUCUGACGGAGCGACGCCGCGUGGUGGAUGAAGCGUUUCGGCGCGUAAACACCUUUUAUGAGGGAGGAAGUAUAUUGACGUUACCUCAUGAAUAAGGGGCUCCCAACUCUGUGCCAGCAGGAGCGGUAAUACAGAGGCCCCAAGCAUUAUCCGGAUUCACUGGGCGUAAAGGGUGCGUAGGCGGUUAUAUUAGUCAGAUGUUAAAUCUUUGGGCUCAACCCAAAAAUCGCAUUUGAAACGGUAUAACUAGAGGAAGUCAGAGGUAAGCAGAACUCUCGGUGUAGGGGUGAAAUCCGUUGAUAUCGAGGGGAAUACCAAAUGCGAAGGCAGCUUACUGGGACUUUCCUGACGCUGAGGCACGAAAGCAUGGGUAGCGAACGGG